Molecule: long non-coding RNA, 575 nt
Filed under: Pogona vitticeps (central bearded dragon)
Lineage: Eukaryota; Metazoa; Chordata; Lepidosauria; Squamata; Agamidae
Description: lncRNA (ENSPVIG00000022170.1)
Source: RNAcentral
UCAAAUUGGAUAUUGUUUGUUUGCUGUAUUUGACUCCUACCUCUCCUCUCUGAGUUCUAGGUGAAAUGCAUGGUCCUCCUUCCUACUUUAUCUGUGAAAUUGUCAGUUGAAAAUGACUUCCAGCUCUAGACUAUACAAUGAAUUCCAUGACUCUGUGGAAUCUCUGAAAUUCUGGCCCACAACACUACAGACAUCAUUCCAAUAAGCAACAGAGUAACAGAUGAGUCUUUUGUAUGAUCAUAUAUGGCUCAAGCCCAGGCAAGGGGAUGCUCCUCCUAUUUUAAAGAUUCAUAAGAGAACCAAGCUGCACUUCAUCAGUCUCCACAGAGUUUGCUGCUAUGCUGAAAGAAAACUUUCCCUCCAACCUGAUUGUUUUGGAAGUUUGUUAAAACUGAAGAUUUCUGAGGCUAAAAAUUGUGCCACAUGUGAUUCAUGAAAAACAUUAAAGUUUCAACUAAUGACACUGUGUCGCCUUAUUUAUUUCCAAGAAAAAAAGAGAUCAAAAUUGGGGAGGGGGCUAAAGAAGCUGGCUAGAUAGCUCAGUGAGUUAGGCAUCUGACUGCAGAGCUAAAGCU